Molecule: transfer RNA, 73 nt
Filed under: Planctomycetota bacterium
Lineage: Bacteria; Pseudomonadati; Planctomycetota
Also listed under: 1 other name
Description: tRNA-Ala
Rfam family: tRNA
About the family: Transfer RNA (tRNA) molecules are approximately 80 nucleotides in length.
Source: RNAcentral
GGGGCCGUAGCUCAACUGGGAGAGCGCAUCCUUCGCAAGGAUGAGGUUAAGGGUUCGAUCCCCUUCUGCUCCA